RNAcentral lists this transfer RNA (76 nucleotides) under Bacilli bacterium. Its description in RNAcentral is "tRNA-Lys". It matches the Rfam family "tRNA". From Rfam's summary of the family: Transfer RNA (tRNA) molecules are approximately 80 nucleotides in length. Their secondary structure includes four short double-helical elements and three loops (D, anti-codon, and T loops). The record is from RNAcentral. Lineage: Bacteria; Bacillati; Bacillota; Bacilli.
GCACCCUUAGCUCAGUUGGUAGAGCAACUGACUCUUAAUCAGUGGGUCUGGGGUUCGAGUCCCCAAGGGUGUACCA